Amphimedon queenslandica is the source of this 806-nucleotide long non-coding RNA. RefSeq lists it as uncharacterized. The record is from RefSeq and is a predicted model, not a curated record. Lineage: Eukaryota; Metazoa; Porifera; Demospongiae; Haplosclerida; Niphatidae. The transcript is spliced from 4 exons.
AAUGUCUCACACUAGCCCUUAGCUAUUCACCAUUUAAUUUCCUUAGCUAUUCACUAUUUAAUAUCUCACACUAACUAAUCACCAUACUCUGAACCAUGAUCUUUCCCCAUUCUAGAACAUUCUAUUGUGUGAUAUACAGUGUAUAUAAAGUAGUGGGAGAUUUGCCAUUUUUAAAAAGAAUAAUUUAUAUGGAACAAUUCAGCCACAGCAAACUUAGCUAUGUGGCAAUUCUAACCAAGCAAACUGUAUUUUUAUUGUGGCAAGGGUACACACUCAUAAUACUAAUCUGAUAUUCCAUUUCCCUAUAAUUGCAUCACAGAUUUUUCAAGAUUGCUUUUUUACUUCCUUUACAGAUACAGUCAGGCCAGCAAUGGUGCCAUGUACACAGGACCAGAUACUCCUUGUAGGUAUCCCGGAUGUCGUCUUGAUAAACUGCCGCAUGUUCACCAUUGUAACGGCUGAGGAUAAAGUCAUUAAAGAGUACCCAUCAACAAUACCUCAACGGAGCGAUGUGGUCAACUAAUGUUUUACAUGCUUGGUAUAAUGAUCCAGAAUGUCUCAGACAAUAACCAAUAUCAAUUGGGGCUAUUUAUUGAAGGAAAUCAAAUUUUGCUAUGCUAUGGUUCUGCUAGUGUAUCUGGGAGCAGGGAAGUGAAGAUAGAUUUCAAGGUCUCUCAAUUCAUUUAUCUCUUAGACGUAAAUUCAUUAAAAUUGAUCUGUGACAGCAUAUUAUCUGUUACAAACAUUAUUUUGGAGAACAAAUAAAAUAUAUGUACUUACCUUGCUUAUCCUUACUUCAUCCUAUG